Long non-coding RNA from Neofelis nebulosa (Clouded leopard), 1435 nucleotides. RefSeq lists it as uncharacterized. NCBI's taxonomy places the organism in Eukaryota, Metazoa, Chordata, Mammalia, Carnivora, Felidae. The transcript has 4 exons. The record is from RefSeq and is a predicted model, not a curated record.
GCUCUUUCCAACUUCACCAGUGACCUUGGACGCCUCUGCUAAACAAGGUGUCUCUGUUGAAUUUCCUGAUUCUGGGGAUAAACGUGGCUAUUCACUUUCUAACUCUACGGAGGUCAUCUUCAUCAAGAACUUUCCACCUGCCUCAGGUCUUGGGAGAGCCAAUCACUGCCCAUUUAUAUGUGUUACCCAGUGAGCUGUGCACCAUUAUCAUCCUCUUUUUACAGAUGAAGAAAUUGAGGUCCAAGGAUGAUUAAUAAAGUUCUGGCCAGCUGUGUUCUGGCCAGCUGUAUGACCUUGGACAAGAUACUGAACUUGGCUAAGUGGAUUGUCCUCAUCUAUAAAACGAGGACAUACUUUGCUAUCUGCCAGAAGACUUCAAGGCUUGAAUGCGGCAGCAUCUGUGGAGCUCUUUGUUAACUGCAAAGCCUCUUGUACUGUAAAGUAUUAAUGAACUGCCCAUUCUACUCCCUAAUGUAUGUACUUUUACCGCUGGUUGUGAUGUCACACAAUCCACUAUCUCAGAUAGGCUUCCGUUAUUUCUUUAAUGCACUGCACAGCCAAACAUCUGUCCCUGGCUUCUUCGUGUCUUCCUGGGGGGCAGAUCUCUUUAGUCUGCUCCUGGCUAAAGGCUAUUGUUAGAGAAAGUACAACUUGCUUUUUCUGAAACCAAAGACAUUUCAGCUUUGAAUUCCUAGUCAUUAUGCUAUUUAUUGAUUGUGCACAUGUUUAUUGUGCCUAUUCUGUCAGACCCUGUUCUCAGCACUGAGAUUUGGUCACCUGAUAGAUGUCUUCUGUUUGCCCCUGCAGAUCUGGACUCCAGCCUUCUCCAGUCUGCUCUUUACCCCCAGAGGCUGAUCUGUGGGGACUGCUGGCUCCCUUUAGGGUUCAGUUCCAGAAAGGGUCAGCAGGCAGUUUAAGGGAUGGUUGGAGGGAGGGAGUUAAGGCAUGUAUUUUCCAGGCUCCCUUCUAAAGAGAGACCAUGGGCCAGCAGUACCCUUCCACUAUAGGUCCUCUCUCUUGUUGUUGGUCCUCUCCAACAGCCUCUCAUUCUCUGGGCUCCAGUGCCCUUUAGGCCGAGAAGUGACUCAGGCCCUGAGUGCUGUACUGCCCCUGUGCGACAGAAGUCAUGCAGUAGUCCCUUGGUAAAUGGUCUCUUAUUAAACUUUCUCCAGCUACUCAUCUGCUUCCUGCUGGGGCCCUGGUAGAUUUAAGCAAUAAACAAGAUGUAGAAGACCUUGCUCUUUAUGGGACUUACAUCCUGGAGGGGAAGAUAGAUAAUUAACAAACAACAAUAAGCAAAAUAAUAAUCAUAAUAAAUAGUGAUAUUACCUUUGUGAAAAGAGAAGUUUAUUUGAUAGAAAGAAUCUAGGGUGUUGGGCAAGGUACAAUGUUAGACAGGGUAGCAGGAAAAACUUUUUAAAAUUUUUUUCAAUGU